Molecule: ribosomal RNA, 680 nt
Filed under: uncultured bacterium
Lineage: Bacteria
Description: bacterial SSU rRNA
Rfam family: Bacterial small subunit ribosomal RNA
Source: RNAcentral
AGAGUUUGAUCAUGGCUCAGAACGAACGCUGGCGGCGUGCCUAACACAUGCAAGUCGGACGGACUCAUUUUGAAGUAGCAAUACGGAGAGAUGAGUUAGUGGCGGACGGGUGAGUAACACGUAGGUAACCUACCCUUAAGCGGGGGACAACUCAGGGAAACUUGAGCUAAUACCGCAUAAGACCACGGGCUGAGAUGCCAGUGGGAAAAGGAGCAAUCCACUUAAGGAUGGGCCUGCGGCCUAUCAGGUAGUUGGUGAGGUAACGGCCCACCGAGCCAGAGACGGGUAGCCGGGCUGAGAGGUUGAACGGCCACACUGGAACUGAGAUACGGUCCAGACUCCUACGGGAGGCAGCAGUGGGGAAUAUUGCGCAAUGGGGGAAACCCUGACGCAGCGACGCCGCGUGGAGGAUGAAGGCCUUCGGGUUGUAAACUCCUUUUGUAGGGGAAGAUAAUGACGGUACCCUGCGAAUAAGCCACGGCUAACUCUGUGCCAGCAGCCGCGGUAAGACAGAGGUGGCGAGCGUUGUUCGGAAUUACUGGGCUUAAAGGGCGAGUAGGCGGUGGAGCAAGUCUGAGGUGGAAUCCUACGGCUUAACCGUAGAACUGCCUUGGAAACUGUUUUACUUGAGUCAGUGAGGGGAGGGCGGAAUUCCUGGUGUAGCGGUGAAAUGCGUAGAU